This 126-nucleotide small RNA is filed under the name Escherichia coli. Its description in RNAcentral is "partial RtT sRNA". It matches the Rfam family "RtT RNA". From Rfam's summary of the family: This family represents a bacterial cis-regulatory element known as RtT RNA. The exact function of RtT is unknown although it is thought that it may be involved in changing the cellular response in relation to amino acid starvation. Lineage: Bacteria; Pseudomonadati; Pseudomonadota; Gammaproteobacteria; Enterobacterales; Enterobacteriaceae. The record is from RNAcentral.
AUUCUGCCCAUGCGGGGAAGGAUGAGAAGCUUCGACUAAGGUUCGGCUCGAGCGUCAGCGAGAGAGCGUUGCCGCAGGCAACGACCCGAAGGGCGAAGCGCGCAGCGCUGAGUAAUCCUUCCCCCA